AGUCCUGUAGCUCAGUAGCUAGAGCACUCGCCUCGUAAGUGAGAGACCUGGGUUCAAUUCCCAGCAGGGCAA
This 72-nucleotide transfer RNA is filed under the name Callorhinchus milii (elephant shark). Its description in RNAcentral is "tRNA-Thr (CGT) (tRNA-Thr-CGT-33-1)". It matches the Rfam family "tRNA". Rfam says of the family: Transfer RNA (tRNA) molecules are approximately 80 nucleotides in length. Lineage: Eukaryota; Metazoa; Chordata; Chondrichthyes; Chimaeriformes; Callorhinchidae. The record is from Rfam by way of RNAcentral.